AGGAUGAACGCUAGCGGCAGGCCUAAUACAUGCAAGUCGAACGGUCAGUAGCAAUACUGAAUAGUGGCGCACGGGUGCGUAACACGUAACUAACCUACCUAUACCUGGGGGAUAGCCCGCCGAAAGGCGGAUUAAUACCGCAUAAGGCUUGAGACUGGCAUCAGUUUUUAGUUAAAGAUUUAUUGGGUAUAGAUGGGGUUGCGGGUCAUUAGCUAGUUGGUAAGGUAACGGCUUACCAAGGCGACGAUGACUA
This 253-nucleotide ribosomal RNA is filed under the name uncultured bacterium. RNAcentral's name for it is "partial small subunit ribosomal RNA". It matches the Rfam family "Bacterial small subunit ribosomal RNA", at positions 26 to 285 of the family's 1533-position model. The record is from RNAcentral.